Molecule: ribosomal RNA, 851 nt
Filed under: Anchomenus dorsalis
Lineage: Eukaryota; Metazoa; Arthropoda; Insecta; Coleoptera; Carabidae
Description: eukaryotic LSU rRNA
Rfam family: Eukaryotic large subunit ribosomal RNA
Source: RNAcentral
UGUUCAGGGGUAAACCUGUGGUUCCCGAAAGUUCGAAAGAGGAGAUUCAAUUGCCUCGCCGGUUAUGACCAUUAAGCAGUGUAUAUAUUUGUGUAUAUGUGUGACAUUAUAUUCGUUGCGGCAUUCGUGCUCGUAAUGCUUUUAUAGUGCACCAUUGUUUUAUGCUUGUUUAUAACCGGAGGCGUGCACUUCUCCUCUAGUAGGGCGUCGUGACCCAUUGGGUAUUUUGUCUAAGGCUCAUAAUGGAGACCGUAAUGUCUGAAUGUAUUUCGGUAUAUUUUGUGCAUUUACGGACUUGUGAUGUCCCGACAUAUGCCUGAUGGUAUAAUUGUGAUGAUGAGUCGCUAUUUUAUAUAGUGAGCGUUCAGACCUAUGACAAAUGCUUGUAUGUUGGUAAUUGUGGAAAUCGGACAUUGUGCCGGUUCUACACAUAUGGUAUUGCUAGUCAUGGUGUUCUCGAACAGUUUCUUAUCAUCCGUCAACGGCGUUUAUGUUUUGGGUAAUUACAGGACCCGUCUUGAAACACGGACCAAGGAGUCUAGCAUGUGCGCAAGUCAUUGGGAUUUUAUAAUAAACCUAAAGGCGUAAUGAAAGUAAAUAUAUGUAAAAUUUAUUUUAUAUAUAAAGGGAAGAUGGGUGACGUUAUUUAUGUUACCUCGCAUUCCCGGGGCGUCGCGUAUUCAUUGCGAAUUGCGGCGCACCAAGAGCGUACACGCUGGGACCCGAAAGAUGGUGAACUAUGCCUGGUCAGGAUGAAGUCAGGGGAAACCCUGAUGGAGGUCCGUAGCGAUUCUGACGUGCAAAUCGAUCGUAUGAACUGGGUAUAGGGGCGAAAGACUAAUCGAACCAUC